AGCUACCCCACCAGUCUUCUAUAGGGGUCUAUUUGGAGGGCAACUGUUCAAAAUGUGGUGCAGCAGUAAAAAUUCAUCCUUUAGCCCUUUCUUUCCUCAUGAUAGACUUGCUCAUCAAAGAUAUGCCUGAAUGUGGCUUCCAAUUCCACAUUUCUUUGCCCUAUUAUAAUUUUGUCUGGUCAAAAGUGGAGGUAAUAUAAGAUAGUUGUUUUUGUCUUGUUGAUUCUUUACUACCUUGUGGUUUUUGAUCCAAUGCAGACAUGGAAA
This 267-nucleotide unclassified non-coding RNA is filed under the name Hevea brasiliensis (rubber tree). Lineage: Eukaryota; Viridiplantae; Streptophyta; Magnoliopsida; Malpighiales; Euphorbiaceae. The record is from RNAcentral.